UGCCAGGAAACAAACUAGAUAUUUUUUUUAAAAUAUAUAGCAAGAGAAAAAAGAAAAUAAAUCAAAAUAACAAGGUAUUCAAUCAAGUCCACCUCUUCAACUACCUCCUCCCCUUGGCUCAGUCCUCGGUGGCAUAAUAUGCAAUCAUAACCGAAUGCAAUUAAGAAUUCAUCAACUUUAACCCUAAAGAUCAAUUCUUUCCUUUGGUUUCAAAAUUUGAAUACCAAUUCUCAAAAUCCUGGGCCCACCCCGUUGGUGAGUAUGUAAGUGACACUGCA
RNAcentral lists this long non-coding RNA (278 nucleotides) under Brachypodium distachyon (stiff brome). Its description in RNAcentral is "long non-coding RNA (BDIS_LNC000368)". Lineage: Eukaryota; Viridiplantae; Streptophyta; Magnoliopsida; Poales; Poaceae. The record is from RNAcentral.